AUUGAACGCUGGCGGCAUGCCUUACACAUGCAAGUCGAACGGUAACAGGUCUUCGGAUGCUGACGAGUGGCGAACGGGUGAGUAAUACAUCGGAACGUGCCUAGUAGUGGGGGAUAACUACUCGAAAGAGUGGCUAAUACCGCAUGAGAUCUACGGAUGAAAGCAGGGGAUCGCAAGACCUUGUGCUACUAGAGCGGCCGAUGGCAGAUUAGGUAGAUGGUGGGAUAAAAGCUUACCAAGCCGACGAUCUGUAGCUGGUCUGAGAGGACGAUCAGCCACACUGGGACUGAGACACGGCCCAGACUCCUACGGGAGACAGCAGUGGGGAAUUUUGGACAAUGGGCGCAAGCCUGAUCCAGCAAUGCCGCGUGCAGGAUGAAGGCCUUCGGGUUGUAAACUGCUUUUGUACGGAACGAAAAGCCCCGGGUUAAUACCCUGGGGUCAUGACGGUACCGUAAGAAUAAGCACCGGCUAACUACGUGCCAGCAGCCGCAGUAA
RNAcentral lists this ribosomal RNA (498 nucleotides) under uncultured bacterium. RNAcentral describes it as "partial 16S ribosomal RNA". It matches the Rfam family "Bacterial small subunit ribosomal RNA", at positions 30 to 523 of the family's 1533-position model. The record is from RNAcentral.